GUGCCAGCCGCCGCGGUAAUACGGAGGGUGCAAGCGUUGUCCGGAAUCACUGGGCGUAAAGGGCGCGUAGGCGGCUCAUGAAGGCUGUGGUGAAAGUCCGGGGCUCAACCUCGGAUCGGCCGUGGCGACUCGUGGGCUGGAGCACUGUAGAGGCGGGUGGAAUUCCGGGUGUAGCGGUGGAAUGCGUAGAGAUCCGGAAGAACACCAGUGGCGAAGGCGGCCCGCUGGGCAGUGGCUGACGCUGAGGCGCGACAGCGUGGGGAGCAAACAGGAUUAGAAACCCUGGUAGUCC
RNAcentral lists this ribosomal RNA (292 nucleotides) under uncultured bacterium. Its description in RNAcentral is "partial 16S ribosomal RNA". It matches the Rfam family "Bacterial small subunit ribosomal RNA", at positions 505 to 796 of the family's 1533-position model. The record is from RNAcentral.